This is a non-coding RNA of Microcebus murinus (gray mouse lemur), 3386 nucleotides long. NCBI's taxonomy places the organism in Eukaryota, Metazoa, Chordata, Mammalia, Primates, Cheirogaleidae. The record is from RefSeq and is a predicted model, not a curated record.
AGGUCCUCAAUUUACACAACAAAUAUAUGUCCAGUGGAUUAUCUCUGAUAAACAGCUCCUAUGUUAAAACUUUCUAAUCGAGGGGCGGGAUUCUGCCAGCCGCGGCUGCUGCCGCUGGAGCCGGUGUCCGGGCUGGUGAUGGGGUUAAUUCCCUUUCGUAAGACUCUUACUUGCACCCACCCAGCCCCGCCGUCGCCCCGCCAUGCCGCGCUCAGCCGCCUCCUCCUCAGUAACGCGGGGCACUGAAAGUUAUGAUAUAUUUGAUCCAAGACAGUCCAUUCCAGUCCAGGAAUCUACAGUGGUGACAAGGACAUGGGACUCCUCCUGCCAGAUUACAGAUGGUACAAUACAAUUGACAUCCUGGCUGACAACUGUGGAAAGGAACCUUGGAUUAUUUUAUUUUAUUUUUGUGGAACCCCACAAACCCAAAUCCAUAGGACACAUCAGGCUUCAUUCUAAAAUAACCUUUGCUGAUGAGGAUGUCUGAUACUGUUACUAUAAAAGAUGAAACUGAAACAAUGAAGGAUUUGGAGGCAGAAAUGAAAGAUACAACCGGAGUUGAAAAUAUUAUCAAAUCAGAAAACUAUGGAAAGAUUUUGGCAGAGAAGAAUGACCGUUGUAUUGACAACAAUAUUGAUUUGCAGGAGAAAAUUCAGAUCCCAUUAACACAAUCAUUUGAAAAAGAGGAGAAGCCCUCAAAAGAUGAAGCGGAAAAAGAAAAAGCCAGUGAUAAGUUGCCCAGAAAAAUGUUAUCAAGAGAUUCCAGUCAAGAAUACACUAAUUCAACUGGCAUAGAUCUACAUGAAUUUUUAGUAAAUACAUUAAAAAACAAUCCCAGGGACAGAAUGAUGCUGCUGAAAUUGGAACAAGAAAUUUUAGAUUUCAUUGGUAAUAAUGAGUCUCUACGUAAAAAAUUCCCCCCAAUGACAUCAUACCAUAGGAUGCUGUUACAUAGAGUAGCUGCUUACUUUGGAUUAGACCACAAUGUUGAUCAGAGUGGGAAGUCUGUCAUAGUAAACAAAACUAGCAAUACAAGAAUACCUGAUCAGAAAUUUAAUGAACAUAUUAAGGAUGAUAAAGGUGAAGACUUUCAGAAACGGUAUAUCCUCAAGAGAGAUAACUCUAGCUUUGACAAAGAUGACACCCAGAUGAGAAUACGUUUGAAAGAUGACAGAAGAAGCAAAUCUAUAGAAGAAAGAGAAGAAGAGUACCAGAGAGCUAGAGACCGGAUAUUUUCCCAAGAUUCCCUGUGUUCCCAAGAGAAUUAUAUUAUUGACAAAAGAAUCCAAGAUGAGGAUGCUAGUAGUACCCAGCAGAGGCGCCAGAUAUUCAGAGUUAAUAAAGAUGCUUCAGGAAGAUCAACAAAUAGCCAUCAAAGCAGCACUGAGAAUGAGUUGAAGUAUUCAGAACCACGACCCUGGAGCAGCACAGAUUCAGACAGCUCUCUCCGAAACCUAAAACCUGCCGUAACCAAAGCCAGCAGCUUCAGUGGAAUCUCAGUCCUGACAAGAGGUGAUAGUUCUGGAAGCAGCAAAAGCAUAGGCAGGCUUUCAAAAACAGGUUCUGAGUCUUCUGGUAGUGUAGGGUCAUCUACAGGCUCUCUUUCUCACAUCCAGCAGCCUCUUCCAGGUACAGCUCUCAGCCAGUCUUCUCAUGGCGCACCUGUCGUCUAUCCAACUGUCAGCACUCAUAGUUCUCUUUCCUUUGAUGGUGGCCUAAAUGGGCAAGUUGCAUCUCCUAGCACUAGCUUCUUUUUGCUUCCCUUGGAAGCGGCAGGCAUACCACCUGGCAGUAUUCUGAUCAACCCACAAACAGGUCAGCCCUUCAUAAACCCAGAUGGGAGUCCAGUUGUGUAUAAUCCUCCUAUGACUCAACAACCAGUUAGACCCCAAGUGCCUGGACCUCCACAGCCACCUCUGCCACCCCCACCAACUCAACAACCAGCAGCUAAUCACAUUUUCUCACAGGAUAACCUUGGGUCUCAGUUUAGCCACAUGAGUCUUGCCCGCCAGCCAUCCACUGAUGGUUCUGACCCUCACGCCACCAUGUUCCAGUCCACUGUUGUUCUUCAGUCUCCACAGCAAUCUGGUUUUAUCAUGACAGCAGCCCCUCCACCACAUCCUCCGCGCCCGCCACACCACCACCCUCCUCCUCCCCUACCACCUGGGCAGCCAGUCCCUACUGCUGGCUAUUCUGCCUCUGGUCAUCCUGUCAGCCAGCCUGUGCUCCAGCAGCAGGGAUAUAUUCAGCAGCCAUCACCACAGAUGCCAGCCUGUUAUUGCGCUCCAGGCCACUAUCACUCCAAUCAACCUCAGUAUCGCCCAGUCCCUUCUGUCCAUUACAAUUCACAUCUAAACCAACCACUGCCACAACCUGCACAGCAGACAGGUUAUCAAGUUAUGCCCAACCAGCAGCAAAACUACCAAGGAAUAGUUGGAGUUCAGCAACCCCAGAGUCAGAACCUAGUCAGUGGCCAACCCAACAGCAUUGGAAAUCAGAUUCAAGGAGUAGUCAUCCCCUAUCCCACAGUGCCAUCAUAUCAGGUUUCACUGCCUCAAGGUUCUCAAGGAAUUGCCCAUCAGACUUAUCAACAGCCUGUUAUGUUCCCGAAUCAGUCUAAUCAAGGAUCUAUGCCACAGCAGCAUGCCCUUUACUAUAGUGUCAUUCCACCUGGCCACCAAAAUAAUUUAAGCUCUUCAGUCAGUUACUUGCAGCACCCAGGAUCAGAACAAGUACAGUUUCCUCGGACUACUUCACCAUGCAGUUCCCAACAGCUUCAAGGCCACCAGUGUGCAGCUGUGCCACCACCACCACCUGGUGGAGGAAUGGUGAUGAUGCAGCUCAAUGUACCAAACAAUCCACAAUCUCGUGCUCACUCACCCCCCCAGUGGAAACAAAACAAAUAUUACUGUGAUCACCAGAGAGGACAGAAGUGUGUGGAAUUUAGCAAUGUAGACAAUAUUGUCCAGCACAGCUCUCAACUCAGUAGCCCCAUUAUCUCACCAGCUCAGUCGCCGGCACCAGUUCAGCUGUCUACCCUGAAAACUGGACGUCCCUCUGGACCACCACUUUCUAUCAUGCCCCAAUUUUCUAGACCUUUUGUCCCUGGGCAAGGAGAUACCAGGUAUCCAUUACUUGGGCAACCACUGCAGUACAACUCUCCUGCUGUUCUGCACGGACACAUUCCAAACCAACAGAGUCAGCCUGGCAGCAGACAUGGAAACCGAGGAAGAAGACAAGCUAAAAAAGCUGCAUCCACGGACCUUGGAGCAGGAGAAGCAGUUGUUGGGAAGGUCUUGGAAAUAACUGAACUACCAGAUGGAAUAACUCGCAUGGAAGCCGAGAAGCUUUUUGGGGAACUCUUUAAAAUUGGCGCCAAGAUCCGG